GGAGGAGCCAGCCGACAGGUGGCGCCGGCCUCGGUCUUGAAAACCGUUGGGGUGCGCGAGCAUCCGUGUGGGUUCGACCCCCACUUCCUCCGCCA
RNAcentral lists this transfer RNA (95 nucleotides) under Kitasatospora gansuensis. RNAcentral describes it as "tRNA-Ser". It matches the Rfam family "tRNA". From Rfam's summary of the family: Transfer RNA (tRNA) molecules are approximately 80 nucleotides in length. Their secondary structure includes four short double-helical elements and three loops (D, anti-codon, and T loops). The record is from RNAcentral. Lineage: Bacteria; Bacillati; Actinomycetota; Actinomycetes; Kitasatosporales; Streptomycetaceae.